GUGUGUGAAGUUUAUAAGGGCACAGGGUGGAUGCCUUGGCACUAGGAGCCGAUGAAGGACGUUGUAGCCUGCGAUAAGCCUCGGGGAGUUGGCAAACGAACCGUGAUCCGAGGAUGUCCGAAUGGGGGAACCCCGCCACAGUCAUGUGUGGUGACCCGCACCUGAAUAUAUAGGGUGCGUGGAGGGAACGUCGGGAAGUGAAACAUCUCAGUACCGACAGGAAGAGAUAUUCCGUGAGUAGUGGCGAGCGAAAGCGGAUCAGGCCAAACCGUGCAUGUGUCAAAGCUGUCAGGCGUUGCAUGUGCGGGGUAGUGGGACCUUCCGGUCCGGACUGACAUCCGGGCAAGGAGUGAGAAAGCCGCAUCAUAGUCGAAGGGCAUUGAAAGGCCCGGCACAGAGGGUGUGACCCCCGUAGACGAAAUGGUGCGGCCUCCUGGAGGGGAUCCCAAGUAGCACGGGGCCCGAGAAAUCCCGUGUGAAUCCGUCAAGACCACUUGAUAAGCCUAAAUACUCCCUAGUGACCGAUAGCGGACCAGUACCGUGAGGGAAAGGUGAAAAGUACCCCGGGAGGGGAGUGAAAUAGUACCUGAAACCGUGUGCCUACAAUCCGUCGGAGCCUCCUUAGCAGGGGUGACGGCGUGCCUUUUGAAGAAUGAGCCUGCGAGUUAGUGCUCAGUGGCGAGGUUAACCCGUGUGGGGAAGCCGUAGCGAAAGCGAGUCCGAACAGGGCGAUACAGUCGCUGGGUCUAGACCCGAAGCGAAGUGAUCUAGCCAUGGGCAGGUUGAAGCGUGGGUAAGACCGCGUGGAGGACCGAACCCACUUGGGUUGAAAACCGAGGGGAUGACCUGUGGUUAGGGGUGAAAGGCCAAUCAAACUUCGUGAUAGCUGGUUCUCCCCGAAAUGCAUUUAGGUGCAGCGUCACGUGUUUCUUGCCGGAGGUAGAGCUACUGGAUGGCUAAUGGGCCCUACCAGGUUACUGACGUCAGCCAAACUCCGAAUGCCGGUAAGACAGAGCGUGGCAGUGAGACUGCGGGGGAUAAGCUCCGUAGUCGAGAGGGAAACAGCCCAGACCACCAGCUAAGGCCCCUAAGCGUGUGCUAAGUGGGAAAGGAUGUGGAGUUGCACAGACAACCAGGAGGUUGGCUUAGAAGCAGCCACCCUUGAAAGAGUGCGUAAUAGCUCACUGGUCAAGUGAUUCCGCGCCGACAAUGUAGCGGGGCUCAAGUACACCGCCGAAGCUGUGGCAUUCACACUUCCGCCAGGCCUUCGUGGUCCAGGCGUGUGGAUGGGUAGGGGAGCGUCGUGUGGGCAGUGAAGUCGCGGAGUAAUCCAGCGGUGGAGCCUACACGAGUGAGAAUGCAGGCAUGAGUAGCGAAAGACGGGUGAGAAACCCGUCCGCCGAAUGAUCAAGGGUUCCAGGGCCAGGCUAAUCCGCCCUGGGUAAGUCGGGACCUAAGGCGAGGCCGACAGGCGUAGUCGAUGGACAAGGAGUUGAUAUUCUCCUACCGGCGAAGAACCGCCCAUACCGAGCCCGGUGAUGCUAACCGCCCGAGCCACCGCACCGACCCUUCGGGGUCAUCGUGGUGGGGAGCGCGGGACCCGAACCGGUAGUAGGUAAGCGUAUUAACAGGAGUGACGCAGGAAGGUAGCCGCACGUGGCGAUGGUUGACCACGUCCAAGGCUGUAGGGCGCCGGGUAGGCAAAUCCGCCCGGCACGAAGCCUGAGAGCUGAUAGUGACCACGCAUGUGGGAACGCGGUGAUCCUAUGCUGCCAAGAAAAGCUUCGACGCGAGGUUCUAGCCGCCCGUACCCCAAACCGACUCAGGUGAUCAGGUAGAGAAUACCAAGGCGAUCGAGCGAAUCGUGGUUAAGGAACUCGGCAAAAUGCCCCCGUAACUUCGGGAGAAGGGGGGCCGAAAGCGUGAACACCCUCGCGGUGGGAGCGUGGACGGCCGCAGAGACCAGGGAGAAGCGACUGUUUACUAAAAACACAGGUCCGUGCUAAGUCGCAAGACGAUGUAUACGGACUGACGCCUGCCCGGUGCUGGAAGGUUAAGAGGACGGGUCAGCCUUACGGCGAAGCUCAGAAUUUAAGCCCCAGUAAACGGCGGUGGUAACUAUAACCAUCCUAAGGUAGCGAAAUUCCUUGUCGGGUAAGUUCCGACCUGCACGAAUGGCGUAACGACUUCUCCGCUGUCUCAACCGCGAACUCGGCGAAAUUGCAGUACGAGUAAAGAUGCUCGUUACGCGCAGCAGGACGGAAAGACCCCGGGACCUUUACUAUAGCUUGAUAUUGGUGUUCGGUGCGGCUUGUGUAGGAUAGGUGGGAGACUGUGAGAUCCGCACGCCAGUGCGGGUGGAGUCAUCGUUGAAAUACCACUCUGGUCGCUCUGGAUUCCUAACCUCGGUCCGUGAUCCGGAUCAGGGACAGUGUCUGGUGGGUAGUUUAACUGGGGCGGUUGCCUCCAAAAAUGUAACGGAGGCGCUCAAAGGUUCCCUCAGCCUGGUUGGCAAUCAGGUGUCGAGUGCAAGUGCACAAGGGAGCUUGACUGUGAGACUGACAGGUCGAGCAGGGACGAAAGUCGGAACUAGUGAUCCGGCGGUGGCUUGUGGAAGCGCCGUCGCUCAACGGAUAAAAGGUACCCCGGGGAUAACAGGCUGAUCUUGCCCAAGAGUCCAUAUCGACGGCAUGGUUUGGCACCUCGAUGUCGGCUCGUCGCAUCCUGGGGCUGGAGUAGGUCCCAAGGGUUGGGCUGUUCGCCCAUUAAAGCGGUACGCGAGCUGGGUUUAGAACGUCGUGAGACAGUUCGGUCCCUAUCCGCUGCGCGCGCAGGAAACUUGAGAAGGGCUGUCCCUAGUACGAGAGGACCGGGACGGACGAACCUCUGGUGUGCCAGUUGUUCCGCCAGGAGCACGGCUGGUUGGCUACGUUCGGAAGGGAUAACCGCUGAAAGCAUCUAAGCGGGAAGCCUGCUUCAAGAUGAGGUUUCCACACCCCUCGUGGGUGGAAGGCACCCAGCAGAACACUGGGUCGAUAGGCCGGACGUGGAAGAAGGGACUAAAGACCUUCGCAGCUGACCGGUACUAAUCAGCCGACAACUUCACAACACAACACCUUUUGCAUGCACGCGUCCACUGUGCGGUUCCCGAGAAACGGGCACCACCAAC
This 3169-nucleotide ribosomal RNA is filed under the name Cellulomonas sp. PhB143. RNAcentral's name for it is "bacterial LSU rRNA". It matches the Rfam family "Bacterial large subunit ribosomal RNA". Lineage: Bacteria; Bacillati; Actinomycetota; Actinomycetes; Micrococcales; Cellulomonadaceae. The record is from RNAcentral.